GAUGAACGCUGGCGGCGUGCCUAAUACAUGCAAGUCGAGCGAACAGACGCGGAGCUUGCUCCUCUGACGUUAGCGGCGGACGGGUGAGUAACACGUGGAUAACCUACCUAUAAGACUGGGAUAACUUCGGGAAACCGGAGCUAAUACCGGAUAAUAUAUUGAACCGCAUGGUUCAAUAGUGAAAGACGGUUUUGCUGUCACUUAUAGAUGGAUCCGCGCCGCAUUAGCUAGUUGGUAAGGUAACGGCUUACCAAGGCAACGAUGCGUAGCCGACCUGAGAGGGUGGUCGGCCACCCUGGAGCGGAGACACGGUCCAGACUCCUACGGGACGCAGCAGUAGGGAAUCUUCCGCAAUGGGCGAAAGCCUGACGGAGCAACGCCGCGUGAGUGAUGAAGGUCUUCGGAUCGUAAAACUCUGUUAUUAGGGAAGAACAAAUGUGUAAGUAACUAUGCACGUCUUGACGGUACCUAAUCAGAAAGCCACGGCUAACUACGUG
This 497-nucleotide ribosomal RNA is filed under the name uncultured bacterium. Its description in RNAcentral is "partial 16S ribosomal RNA". It matches the Rfam family "Bacterial small subunit ribosomal RNA", at positions 28 to 507 of the family's 1533-position model. The record is from RNAcentral.